GCCUCAGUGGUCGAGUUGGUAAGACACCCGCCUAGUGAGCAGGGAAGUCCAGGUUCAAACCCUGGCUGAGGUA
Molecule: non-coding RNA, 73 nt
Organism: Vollenhovia emeryi
Lineage: Eukaryota; Metazoa; Arthropoda; Insecta; Hymenoptera; Formicidae
Source: the annotation of a RefSeq genome assembly